RNAcentral lists this ribosomal RNA (371 nucleotides) under uncultured bacterium. Its description in RNAcentral is "bacterial SSU rRNA". It matches the Rfam family "Bacterial small subunit ribosomal RNA", at positions 527 to 896 of the family's 1533-position model. The record is from RNAcentral.
AGANGNNGCCAGCGUUAUUCGGAAUUAUUGGGCGUAAAGGGCGCGUAGGCGGCCAUGCGUGUCUUCCGUGAAAUCCCUCGGCUUAACCGAGGACGUGCGGAAGAAACUGCAAGGCUCGAGUCCGGAAGAGGGGGGCGGAAUUCCCAGUGUAGCGGUGAAAUGCGUAGAUAUUGGGAGGAACACCAGUGGCGAAGGCGGUCCCCUGGGCCGGAACUGACGCUGAGGCGCGAAAGCGUGGGUAGCAAACGGGAUUAGAUACCCCGGUAGUCCACGCCGUAAACGAUGGGCACUUGGUGUCGCGGGUAUCGACCCCUGCGGUGCCGAAGCUAACGCAUUAAGUGCCCCGCCUGGGGAGUACGGUCGCAAGGCUG